This 305-nucleotide ribosomal RNA is filed under the name uncultured bacterium. RNAcentral's name for it is "bacterial SSU rRNA". It matches the Rfam family "Bacterial small subunit ribosomal RNA", at positions 335 to 639 of the family's 1533-position model. The record is from RNAcentral.
UGCCUACGGGAGGCAGCAGUGAGGAGUAUUGGUCAAUGGGCGCGAGCCUGAACCAGCCAAGUCGCGUGAGGGAAGACGGUCCUAUGGAUUGUAAACCUCUUUUGUCGGGGAGCAAAAGACGCCACGCGUGGCGUUCCGAGAGUACCCGAAGAAAAAGCAUCGGCUAACUCCGUGCCAGCAGCCGCGGUAAUACGGAGGAUGCGAGCGUUAUCCGGAUUUAUUGGGUUUAAAGGGUGCGUAGGCGGGCAUUUAAGCCGGCGGUCAAAUGUCGGGGCUCAACCCCGGCCUGCCGUCGGAACUGGGUG